Ipomoea nil (Japanese morning glory) is the source of this 2865-nucleotide RNA transcript. It is a transcript of the gene named squamous cell carcinoma antigen recognized by T-cells 3, with no coding region annotated. Lineage: Eukaryota; Viridiplantae; Streptophyta; Magnoliopsida; Solanales; Convolvulaceae. The record is from RefSeq and is a predicted model, not a curated record. The transcript has 17 exons.
AGUGUUUUUGGUGCCAUUUUUUGCCCCUCUGCAGUGUGUCUGUAAGCUGGUUUGCGACUCUGCGGCGCACCCCCAAAAACCAUGGCGGAAACCCCGACUGAAACCCUAGAUUCCUCUCCCCAAGCACCUCAAAUCUCCGAAGAUGCUACCGAGGAUAACGAAGACCAACUCAUGACCGAUGCCCCUAACUCGAACAAGGUGCCCCGGUCCGACUCCGACACAGAGUCUGACUCUGAUGACGACGCUAAACAGAAUCUCGAAAUUCAAGCUCUCGAAACUGAGCUCUCCAGCAACCCCUCUAAUUACGAUGCUCAUGUCCAAUAUAUUAAAUCCCUGAGGAAGCAGGGAGACAUAGAGAAGCUAAGAAUAGCUAGGGAAGCUAUGAGUGCCAUAUUUCCACUGAGUUCCGAGAUGUGGAAGGAGUGGAUUAAAGAUGAGAUGUCUCUUAGCUCUGGACCUGAGGCUUUCCCUGCUAUUGAAAAGUUAUAUGAGCGUGGAGUGUCUGAUUAUCUGUCUGUGGUUUUAUGGUGUGACUACUUAAAUUAUGUUCAAGAGCAUGACCCAUCAGUUAGUUCAUGUUCUAUAGAUGGUAUAUCAAAGGCAAGAAAUCUCUUUGAGCGUGCCCUUACUGCCGCUGGUUUGCAUGUUGCUGAAGGUGGCCGGAUAUGGGAAUUAUACAGGGACUUUGAACAAGCCAUUCUCAUCACAAUUGAUGGAACUGAUCACGAGACAAGGGAGAAGCAGAUCCAACGAAUUAGAAAUUUGUUUCAUCGACAGCUGUCUGUUCCCCUUGCUGACCUGAAAACAACUCUUAUUGCAUACAAGGCUUGGGAAGUAGAACAGGGAGGUAAUAUUGAUGUCAACUCCAGUGGCUUGGAUGGACUUUCUCCACAGGUGGUAUCUGCAUAUCAAAAAGCUCUAGAGAUGUUGAAUGCUCGACUUGACCUUGAGGAUCUAAUAUCCAAUAAGGAUGCAACUGAGACAGAUAGACUUCAACAGUUCAUGUCUUAUUUAAAAUUUGAGCAGUCAUCUGGGGACCCAGCUAGGGUGCAGAUAUUGUAUGAACGGGCUGUAGCCGACUUUCCAAUUUCUAGUGAUCUCUGGCUUGACUAUACUCUCUACAUGGGAAAAACCUUGAAGACUUCCAGGAUUGUGAGAGACAUUCAUCAUAGGGCCACGCGGAACUGUCCCUGGUCUGCAGAAUUGUGGACUCGUUACCUACUAUGUCUUGAACGUAGUCGUGCUUCUGAGGAUGAACUAUCCACUGUUUUUGAGAAGUCACUUCAAUGCACCUUCUUAAGCAUUGAAGAGUAUCUAGAAGUUUUUCUCACAAGAGUUGAUAGCUUAAGACGGAGAAUGUCUUCAUCUCAAGGAGUGGGGAGUGGCUUGGAUUAUGCAAUGAUACGGGACACCUUUCAGCGUGCAUCAGACUAUUUGUCCCCACAUCUGAAGAAUACAGAAAAGUUAAUACGAAUGUAUAGUUACUGGGCCCAUUUAGAGGCAAAUCUGCGGAAAGAUUUAAUUGCUGCUCGUGGUGUUUGGGAAAGCUUACUUAAAAUCUGUGGAUCUAUGCUAGAAGCCUGGCAAGGCUAUAUAUCUAUGGAGAUCAAGAUGGGUCACAUAAAUGAAGCCAGAUCCCUGUACAAAAGAUGUUAUAGCAAAAAAUUCCCAGGGACAGGCUCGGAGGACAUAUGCCAUUCUUGGGUGCGCUUUGAGAGAGAAUGUGGUUCCCUUGAAGACUUUGAUCUUGCGGUACAAAAGGUUACUCCUCGCCUAGAAGAACUACGACUUUUUAGGCUGCAGCAGGAGAGCAAAAAUACUGGUUUAUCUGCAGAUCAGAGAGAGACUGCCAUUGGGAGAGGAAUUCAUGAAAAGAGAAAACCACUUUCAGAUGUAGCAGAUGAACAGCCUGCAGCAAAACGUCGCAAAGAGAAAGCCAAGAAUUCUAAGUCCACUGAUGAAAAGGGAAAAACCCAAGCUACAGACUUGGUUGGUGCCGGUAAGAUGGAUGUGGUGGUAGAAGCAAGCAAACCAUCAACUGCAAGCAAGAAAGAAAAGGAAGGUAUUUCCACUGGAAAGCCAAAACAGUACAAUGACCAGUGCACUGCAUUUAUCUCUAACCUUAGCUUCCAGGCAAAUUAUGAUGACCUACAGAAGUUAUUCAGUGAUGUUGGUGGAGUUGUUGCUAUUCGAAUAUUAACAGACAAGUACACUGGAAAAUCAAGAGGAUUGGCCUAUGUGGAUUUUUGCGAUGAUGCACACCUUGCUGCAGCUUUGGCAAAGAAUAGGCAAAAGCUGCAUGGAAAAAAACUGAGCAUUCUGAGGUCAGAUCCUCAGCAGAACAAAAAGAGGGGAAACCUUGGGAAAGGAAUGCCAACAAAACAUGCAGAUUCUGGUGGUCAAGGUUCAAAAUCAGACUCCAAGGACAGUGGUGAAGUUUCAAGACAGAGUGGAGGUGGGCCUAAAAGAGAUCAGUCAGCUGAUAGGCAGAAAGAUGAUAUACAGCUGAAGGGUAGGAACAUUUUUGCAAUGCCAAGAGCUGUCAGCAAAAGUAAACCAAAACUGGAGAAGAUAGCUGAGGAAGGAGAAGACGAGAACCCUAAAUCAAAUGACGAGUUCCGCAAAAUGUUCCUGAAAUCUUGAAAUAUGCCAUGUGGGAAAAGGUUUGUACAUUAUACCCGAACCCUGUUAGUGGAGUAUGAACAGAAGCAAAUGCUUUAGGAAACUGACUUCUACUUGGUUUUAGUGGAGGCAUUGUGUUUCUUCUAAAUCAUAUAUCACGCCUUGUUUUCAAGCAUCUUAUGCUAAUGCAUUGGAUUAUUAUGCUACUUUAACUGUGUUAUUUUAGUAUAAUCUCCUUGCAUA